This 433-nucleotide ribosomal RNA is filed under the name uncultured bacterium. RNAcentral describes it as "partial 16S ribosomal RNA". It matches the Rfam family "Bacterial small subunit ribosomal RNA", at positions 29 to 507 of the family's 1533-position model. The record is from RNAcentral.
AACGAACGCUGGCGGCAUGCCUAACACAUGCAAGUCGUACGAGACCUUCGGGUCUAGUGGCGCACGGGUGCGUAACGCGUGGGAACCUGCCCUUAGGUUCGGAAUAACUCCCCGAAAGGGGUGCUAAUACCGGAUAAUGUCUUCGGACCAAAGAUUUAUCGCCUUUGGAUGGGCCCGCGUUGGAUUAGCUAGUUGGUAGGGUAAAAGCCUACCAAGGCGACGAUCCAUAGCUGGUCUGAGAGGAUGAUCAGCCACACUGGGACUGAGACACGGCCCAGACUCCUACGGGAGGCAGCAGUGGGGAAUAUUGGACAAUGGGCGAAAGCCUGAUCCAGCAAUGCCGGGUGAGUGAUGAAGGCCUUAGGGUUGUAAAGCUCUUUUACCCGGGAUGAUAAUGACAGUACCGGGAGAAUAAGCGCCGGCUAACUCCGUG